RNAcentral lists this ribosomal RNA (811 nucleotides) under uncultured bacterium. Its description in RNAcentral is "bacterial SSU rRNA". It matches the Rfam family "Bacterial small subunit ribosomal RNA", at positions 99 to 933 of the family's 1533-position model. The record is from RNAcentral.
CGCACGGCUGAGGAACACGUGACUAACCUACCCCGGUGUGGGGGAUAACGGGUCGAAAGACUCGCUAAUCCCGCAUACGAUCCGCCUCGGCGGAGGAAAGCCGUAAGGCGCACUGGGCGGGGGUCGCGUCCCAUUAGAUAGUUGGUGUGGUAAUGGCGCACCAAGUCGAUGAUGGGUCUCUGGUCUGAGAGGACGACCAGACAGAUUGGGACUGAGACACGGCCCAAACUCCUACGGGGGGCAGCAGCAAGGAAUUUUCGGCAAUGGGCGCAAGCCUGACCGAGCAACGCCGCGUGGAGGAUGACGGCUCUUGGGUUGUAAACUCCUUUUGGGGGGGACGAUAAUGACGGUACCCUCCGAAUCAGGCCCGGCUAACUACGUGCCAGCAGCCGCGGUAAUACGUAGGGGCCAAGCGUUGUCCGGAAUUACUGGGCGUAAAGCGUGGGUAGGUGGUCGGUGAUGUGCCGCGUGAAAGCGCCGGAGUAAUGCCGGCGAGGUCGCGGUAGACACACGGACUCGAGGCUCGCAGAGGAACGUGGAAUUCCCGGUGUAGUGGUGAGAUGCGUAGAUAUCGGGAGGAACACCAGUGGCGCAAGCGGCGUUCUGGGCGAGACCUGACACUGAGCCACGACGGCGUGGGGAGCAAACAGGAUUAGAUACCCUGGUAGUCCACGCAGUAAACGAUGCAUACCAGGUGUGGGAUGGCGUUCGCGUCGUUCCGUGCCGCAGCUUACGCGAUGAGUAUGCCGCCUGGGGACUACGAGCGCAAGCUUAAAACUCAAAGGAAUUGACGGGGGCCCGCACAAGCAGC